CCUACGGGAGGCAGCAGUGAGGAAUAUUGGUCAAUGGUCGGGAGACUGAACCAGCCAAGCCGCGUGAGGGAGGAAGGUACAGAGUAUCGUAAACCUCUUUUGUCAGGGAACAAAGGCGGGGACGUGUCCCCGGAUGAGUGUACCUGAAGAAAAAGCAUCGGCUAACUCCGUGCCAGCAGCCGCGGUAAUCCGGAGGAUGCGAGCGUUAUCCGGAUUUAUUGGGUUUAAAGGGUGCGCAGGCGGUCUGUUAAGUCAGCGGUAAAACCCCGGGGCGAAACCCCGCCCCGCCGUUGAAACUGGCAGUCUCGAGUUGGAGAGAGGUAUGCGGAAUGCGCGGUGUAGCGGUGAAAUGCAUAGAUAUCGCGAAGAACUCCGAUUGCGAAGGCAGCAUGCCGGCUCCACACUGACGCUGAGGCACGAAAGCGUGGGUAUCGAACAGGAUUAGAUACCCCAGUAGUC
RNAcentral lists this ribosomal RNA (459 nucleotides) under uncultured bacterium. RNAcentral describes it as "partial 16S ribosomal RNA". It matches the Rfam family "Bacterial small subunit ribosomal RNA", at positions 338 to 795 of the family's 1533-position model. The record is from RNAcentral.